UACGAAGGGGGCUAGCGUUGCUCGGAAUUACUGGGCGUAAAGAGCUCGUAGGCGGCUUGUCGCGUCGACUGUGAAAUCCCGCGGCUCAACUGCGGGUCUGCAGUCGAUACGGGCAGGCUAGAGUUCGGUAGGGGAGACUGGAAUUCCUGGUGUAGCGGUGAAAUGCGUAGAUAUCGGUAGGAACACCAGUGGCGAAGGCGGUCUCCUGGGGCAUUCUUGACGCUGAUGCGCGAAAGCUGGGGGAGCAAACGGG
This 253-nucleotide ribosomal RNA is filed under the name uncultured bacterium. RNAcentral describes it as "partial 16S ribosomal RNA". It matches the Rfam family "Bacterial small subunit ribosomal RNA", at positions 524 to 776 of the family's 1533-position model. The record is from RNAcentral.